AUUGAACGCUGGCGGCAUGCCUUACACAUGCAAGUCGAACGGCAGCACGGGUGCUUGCACCUGGUGGCGAGUGGCGAACGGGUGAGUAAUACAUCGGAACAUGUCCUGUAGUGGGGGAUAGCCCGGCGAAAGCCGGAUUAAUACCGCAUACGAUCUACGGAUGAAAGCGGGGGACCUUCGGGCCUCGCGCUAUCGGGUUGGCCGAUGGCGGAUUAGCUAGUUGGGGGGGUAAAGGCCUACCAAGGCGACGAUCAGUAGCUGGUCUGAGAGGACGACCAGCCACACUGGGACUGAGACACGGCCCAGACUCCUACGGGAGGCAGCAGUGGGGAAUUUUGGACAAUGGGCGAAAGCCUGAUCCAGCAAUGCCGCGUGUGUGAAGAAGGCCUUCGGGUUGUAAAGCACUUUUGUCCGGAAAGAAAUCCUUGGCCCUAAUACGGUCGGGGGAUGACGGUACCGGAAGAAUAAGCACCGGCUAACUACGUG
This 486-nucleotide ribosomal RNA is filed under the name uncultured bacterium. RNAcentral describes it as "partial 16S ribosomal RNA". It matches the Rfam family "Bacterial small subunit ribosomal RNA", at positions 29 to 507 of the family's 1533-position model. The record is from RNAcentral.